AGUGAACGCUGGCGGUAGGCCUAACACAUGCAAGUCGAACGGCAGCACAGUAAGAGCUUGCUCUUACGGGUGGCGAGUGGCGGACGGGUGAGGAAUACAUCGGAAUCUACUUUUUCGUGGGGGAUAACGUAGGGAAACUUACGCUAAUACCGCAUACGACCUACGGGUGAAAGCAGGGGAUCUUCGGACCUUGCGCGAUUGAAUGAGCCGAUGUCGGAUUAGCUAGUUGGCGGGGUAAAGGCCCACCAAGGCGACGAUCCGUAGCUGGUCUGAGAGGAUGAUCAGCCACACUGGAACUGAGACACGGUCCAGACUCCUACGGGAGGCAGCAGUGGGGAAUAUUGGACAAUGGGCGCAAGCCUGAUCCAGCCAUACCGCGUGGGUGAAGAAGGCCUUCGGGUUGUAAAGCCCUUUUGUCGGGAAAGAGAAGCAGCAGGUUAAUACCCCGCUGUUCUGACGGUACCCAAAGAAUAAGCACCGGCUAACUUCGUG
This 492-nucleotide ribosomal RNA is filed under the name uncultured bacterium. RNAcentral describes it as "partial 16S ribosomal RNA". It matches the Rfam family "Bacterial small subunit ribosomal RNA", at positions 29 to 507 of the family's 1533-position model. The record is from RNAcentral.